GCCACCGUCGCAUAACUCGGUAUUGCGCAGGUCUUGAAAACCUGUCCCUCUGGGAUUGCCGGUUCAAAUCCGGCCGGUGGCG
Molecule: transfer RNA, 82 nt
Filed under: Candidatus Woesearchaeota archaeon
Lineage: Archaea; Nanobdellati; Candidatus Woesearchaeota
Description: tRNA-Ser
Rfam family: tRNA
About the family: Transfer RNA (tRNA) molecules are approximately 80 nucleotides in length.
Source: RNAcentral